UAACCAGCUGUUUUUGGACUGCAGUUCCCGUCAUCCCUGACCACUGGUCCUGCUAACUAGGGAUGAUGGGAGUUGUAGUCCAAAAACAGCGGGAAA
This 96-nucleotide microRNA precursor is filed under the name Podarcis lilfordi (Lilford's wall lizard). The record is from RNAcentral. Lineage: Eukaryota; Metazoa; Chordata; Lepidosauria; Squamata; Lacertidae.